RNAcentral lists this transfer RNA (71 nucleotides) under Rhodanobacter glycinis. Its description in RNAcentral is "tRNA-Arg". It matches the Rfam family "tRNA". From Rfam's summary of the family: Transfer RNA (tRNA) molecules are approximately 80 nucleotides in length. Their secondary structure includes four short double-helical elements and three loops (D, anti-codon, and T loops). The record is from RNAcentral. Lineage: Bacteria; Pseudomonadati; Pseudomonadota; Gammaproteobacteria; Lysobacterales; Rhodanobacteraceae.
GCGUCCUUAGCACAAUGGUAGGGCAUCUGUCUUCGAAACAGUUGAUAUUGGUUCGAUUCCAGUAGGGCGUU